GAUGACCGCUGCCGGCGUUCCCUAUACAUGCACGUCGAGCGAACGGACACGAAGCUUGCUUCUCUGUUGUUAGCUGCGGACGGGUGAGUAACUCUUGGUUACCCUACCUAUAAGCCUGAGAUAUCUUCGUGAAACCUCAGCUACUCCCGGCUACUAUUUUGCACCGCAUUGUUCAAAGGUGAAAGACGGUCUUGCUGUCACUUAUAGAUGGAUCCGCGCUUCAUUAGCUAGUUGGUAAGGUAACGGCUUACCAAGGCAACGAUGCAUAGCCGACCUGAGAGGGUGAUCGGCCACACUGGAACUGAGACACGGUCCAGACUCCUACGGGAGGCCGCAGUAGGGAAUCGUCCGCAAUGGGCGAAAGCCUGACGGAGCAACGCCGCGUGAGUGAUGAAGGUCUUCGGAUCGUAAAACUCUGUUAUUAGGGAAGAACAUAUGUGUAAGUAACUGUGCACAUCUUGACGGUACCUAAUCAGAAAGCCACGGCUAACUACGUG
This 497-nucleotide ribosomal RNA is filed under the name uncultured bacterium. RNAcentral's name for it is "partial 16S ribosomal RNA". It matches the Rfam family "Bacterial small subunit ribosomal RNA", at positions 28 to 507 of the family's 1533-position model. The record is from RNAcentral.